This 212-nucleotide unclassified non-coding RNA is filed under the name Hevea brasiliensis (rubber tree). Lineage: Eukaryota; Viridiplantae; Streptophyta; Magnoliopsida; Malpighiales; Euphorbiaceae. The record is from RNAcentral.
UAAGAAGGAUGAGAGUUGGAGGAUUUGUGUAGAUAGCCAUGGCAUCAACAAAAUUACGGUGGGCUAUAAAUUCCCAGUUCCUAGAUUGGAUGAUAUACUAGAUCAAUUACCUAGUGUUAGAUAGUUUACCAAGCUAGAUUUGAAGAAUGGAUACUAUCAAAUACGCAUAAGACCUGGUGAUGAAAUGGAAACAACAUUCAAGACAAAGGAGG